UUUAUUAUAAUGUUUUAUGCAUAAAUAAUUUUGAAUUAUUAAGUAAAUUAAAA
RNAcentral lists this transfer RNA (53 nucleotides) under Diptera sp. 53 LC-2017. Its description in RNAcentral is "tRNA-Gln". Lineage: Eukaryota; Metazoa; Arthropoda; Insecta; Diptera. The record is from RNAcentral.